Molecule: ribosomal RNA, 253 nt
Filed under: uncultured bacterium
Lineage: Bacteria
Description: partial 16S ribosomal RNA
Rfam family: Bacterial small subunit ribosomal RNA
Source: RNAcentral
UACAGGGGGUGCGAGCGUUAAUCGGAAUUACUGGGCGUAAAGCGCGCGUAGGCGGUUUUGCAAGUCGGGUGUGAAAUCCCCAGGCUUAACCUGGGAACUGCAUUCGAGACUGCAUUACUAGAGUAUGGGAGAGGGAAGUGGAAUUUCCGGUGUAGCGGUGAAAUGCGUAGAUAUCGGAAGGAACAUCAGUGGCGAAAGCGACUUCCUGGACCAAUACUGACGCUCAUGUGCGAAAGCGUGGGGAGCAAACAGG